This 245-nucleotide long non-coding RNA is filed under the name Nicotiana benthamiana. RNAcentral describes it as "long non-coding RNA (NBEN_LNC001163)". The record is from RNAcentral. Lineage: Eukaryota; Viridiplantae; Streptophyta; Magnoliopsida; Solanales; Solanaceae.
ACUAAUGACUAUUAGUUUAUUCACUAACUAAUACAAAUGAGUAGAACAAAAUCAAAUAACUCAAUCUUCUUUCAUCACGGACCCAUCACUGAUUAGGUGGUCUAUUUUCCCCUCGGGUUUCUCAAAGAAGUCUGCCACAUCCAGGUGGGUGUUGUCCAAGUUGUCGUCAUAGACAAAAUUUCUUUCAGGGCCUUUACUCUUUCGAGAUGCUUGAUAAAAGUCAACCAAGUGUCUUGGUAUACGGC